UACGUAGGGCGCAAGCGUUGUCCGGAAUUAUUGGGCGUAAAGAGCUCGUAGGCGGUCUGUUACGUCUGCUGUGAAAACCCGGGGCUUAACCCUUGGCUUGCAGUGGAUACGGGCAGACUAGAGGCAGGUAGGGGAGAAUGGAAUUCCCGGUGUAGCGGUGAAAUGCGCAGAUAUCAGGAGGAACACCGGUGGCGAAGGCGGGACUCUGGGCCGAUACUGACGCUGAGGAGCGAAAGCGUGGGGAGCAAACAGG
Molecule: ribosomal RNA, 253 nt
Filed under: uncultured bacterium
Lineage: Bacteria
Description: partial 16S ribosomal RNA
Rfam family: Bacterial small subunit ribosomal RNA
Source: RNAcentral